AACGAACGCUGGCGGCAGGCCUAACACAUGCAAGUCGAGCGGACCUUUCGGGGUCAGCGGCGGACGGGUGAGUAACGCGUGGGAAUAUGCCCUUCUCUACGGAAUAGUCCUGGGAAACUGGGGGUAAUACCGUAUACGCCCUUUGGGGGAAAGAUUUAUCGGGGAAGGAUUAGCCCGCGUUGGAUUAGGUAGUUGGUGGGGUAAUGGCCUACCAAGCCGACGAUCCAUAGCUGGUUUGAGAGGAUGAUCAGCCACGCUGGGACUGAGACACGGCCCAGACUCCUACGGGAGGCAGCAGUGGGGAAUCUUAGACAAUGGGGGCAACCCUGAUCUAGCCAUGCCGCGUGAGUGAUGAAGGCCUUAGGGUUGUAAAGCUCUUUCAGCUGGGAAGAUAAUGACGGUACCAGCAGAAGAAGCCCCGGCUAACUCCGUG
Molecule: ribosomal RNA, 433 nt
Filed under: uncultured bacterium
Lineage: Bacteria
Description: partial 16S ribosomal RNA
Rfam family: Bacterial small subunit ribosomal RNA
Source: RNAcentral